AUGGCUGAGCUCGCGGCGGGCGCCGUGAGCUCACUGUUGGUUGUCAUCCGGAGCGAGGCGCUGCUACUGCGUGGCGUCCGGCACGAUGUGCAGUUUAUCAAGGAAGAGAUGGAGAGCAUGAAGAGCUUCCUGACGCACCUGGCGAGGUGGGCACCCCCCGGUGGGGAGCAUGACGAGCAAGUGCGCACCUGGAUGAACCAGGUGCGGCUGCUCGCCCAGGACUGCAACAACUGCAUCGACCUCUACCUCUACCGGGGGAACCCCGAUAUCCACCGUGCCAGAGGAGGACUCCGAGGCUACCUCUGGUGGGCAAGCUGGUUACUGCACAAGUUGGCCGCUAAGCACCGCGCAGCUGAGCAGCUGCGGCGGCUCAAGGAGCGGGCACGCGACGUCGGCGAGCGGAGGUUGAGGUAUGGCGUGGAGGUCCCGGCCAAGUCAGGGGAGGGGCAAUCGCCUCCGGCACCUGGGCUAGCAGGGGCGGCACCUUCAGCACGGACUGCUGUGCGAGGUGGUCAUGCUGCUGGGGACGAUGACGGUGAAGAAGAGGGUGACGAUCAACUCAUGGGGGCAAUGACAACCGGCGGUCAUUCUGGUGGUCGAAGAGCCUUCAUUGAGCCUCGCACUUUGGACGACUAUGUCAAGGCAAAGCUACGUGAUUGGGUAGAUGAAACUCCUACAGAAGCCGGCGAGACUUUGUCGGUGGUCCUUGUGGCACCGAACACUUAUCAGGACCUUCUGGCUCUCAUACAAGAAUAUUUGGUUUUUUCGACGGAUUCAGACCUCGACUCUCAUCCCUCGGUUUUGCCAGUGGAGAACGGCUACAAUCGCUUUGUCUUGGUUGACAUCCCGGCCGUGCACCCAAAGUUUACGCCGCUACGACCCAAGGAAGUUCUCUUCUACAUUCUGCGCGAGCUCAGGCAAAGCACAAAAGGCAGAGUGGGGAAGAAGUAUCUUGACCCCUUGGAAGUUCAUGUAAGAAGAUUCCAAAUUUACAAUCAAAUUCACAGUGAAAAGAAGAGGGCUCUUGCUCUUCUCAAAAUCAAGGAGAAGAUCAAAAAGAUGAAGAUUUAUGAAAAGCUUGACAAAAUCAAAAGUGAUAUUCAAGGUCGACUACAGAGGGGCGACAAACUACCACAGCUGCAGGGUGAGUUUCACCAGCUGCACCUAGACGUACUCCUUCAGCUGCUGCUCCAGGCAGCUGUUGCUGCGUCUCAACAAGACCAAGGGAAGAACAAUGACAUGCAAAUGUUACCAGAAUGGGACAACAUCAACAAUAACAUCAUCGUCAAGAAGCUUAAGGAGCAUAUGGAGGAGGGGGGCGGAGGAGGAGGAGGGGAAAUAGGAAGUCAGCAGACGACAUGGAUUCACCUCGAUGAGGCACAAUAUGCACACAUCCUGUGGAAGCUGUUCUCCAAGGGCUGCUCCAGCAGCAAGCCCCUGCAGGCUCAGGACAGAUGGUCGGACAAGCAAGCUACAAAGACCACAACGGCGGACAAGCAAGCUACAAAGACAACCACUGCUGAAUUGGGUGAGGAUCAAAUCAAACCAAUGAUCCACAAUGCAAAGGAAGGCACCUUACAGGAGCUGCAGAAAGGUGAGUAUGACAAGAGUGAAGGGACAGCUGAAUCUGGUAGUGUUCCGGAUCAAAACCCAGAAACUGUUUCUGAAAAAUUCGGUCAGAUGAUGGAGAAAUUAAAGCAGGAGUUCAAAGAGCAGCUCAAGAUCAAAGGUCUCGUGGACGAGAUUAAGCGUAAUUUGGAAUAUAUUUCGGACUGGAAUUGUUAUGAAUGUCCCCUGUUUAUCCUCAGAGUUGAUGAGCUGAUGGAUAUUGCCACAUGGGAGGGUACCAGAAAUGCUUUGAGCCUGCUAAACUGCAGUGCCGAUUUAAUGAUGGUCACCAACACAAAUGACGUCCACCUGGCUAGAGAAUAUUGCUAUCCACAGCGGGAACCUAUAGCUAUAGACUAUUCUCUUGCUGGCCUCUACCAUGAUACAGUGCUCCAGCUUACUAGCCAGCAGAAGAAUAAAGACAACUACAACCCCCAAAUUUUUCAUGAUAUCCUGUCCGAGUGUGAGCCACAUGAAUUCUGCAUGAAGAUCUUCACUCAUGCUUUGUAUGCUAACCCCAACAGGAGCAAUGAGGAGUUACUCAAGCUGCACAGCACCUUGCAGGCUUUGCCAAAAUCAUUCAACAGCAUCACUAAGGUGAUGUUCAAGUUCUCUUACAACGAUCUGCCUAAAGAAUACAAGUCAUGCCUACUGUACCUAGCUAUCUUCUCUAUGGGACACAAGAUCAGGCGGUCAACCUUGAUUGGACGGUGGAUUGCAGAAGGGCUGACAUCCAAUGAAGAUUGGCUCAGUUCUGUGCGUCAGGCCAACCGAUGUUUUGACACACUCAUUGACCGGUGCCUCAUUGAUCCUGCUGAUAUUGGUGCUGCAGGAAAUGUCAAGAGCUGUGUUGUAGGUGAUCUUUUUCAUGGAUUCAUUACCACCAUCGCCAGAAAACAACACAUCGUGGAGACACGGCUGUCACAUCACUUGGCUCGCCACUUCUCCAUUUUCAACGAUCUCCAGCUCCGUGGCUCUGAUAGAAUUGAUAAAUUCUUCCAGGGGCUCUCUGAAUCAUCUCGAGUAUCCCUGCUCAAGGUGCUCGAUCUAGAAGGUUGUCAGUGCUUUGGGAAGAACCGGCAGUACCUCAAGGACAUCUGCAGCAAGAUGUUACUUCUCAAGUAUCUAAGCCUCAGGAGAACAGAUAUUACCGAGCUACCUAGUGAAAUCAACAACCUCCGUGAGCUAGAGGUAUUGGAUAUCCGAGAAACCGAUGUGCCUCCACAUGCAACAGCAAAUAUCCUGCUAUUGAAGCUGAAGCGUCUGCUUGCUGGUCACAUUGAUCUGAAUGCAAGCAAGUUUGGCUCUAGUGGCCGGGUUCCUCGUAGGAUCGGCAAAAUGGUAAACAUGGAGGUCCUAUCUAAUGUCCAGGCCAAGCAUAGUCAUGAUUUAAAAGAUAUUGGAAAGCUAUGGCAGCUGAGGAAGCUAGGUGUGGUUAUUGAUGAUAAGGAUAGCCACCUCAGGAAUUUGCUUCAGACAAUCAGUGACCUCCAUGAGUCCCUCCGUUCUCUGACAAUCACUGCUAGUGUUCCGGUAGCCACACAAUGCGAGGGUACUCCUUCCAGUGCAGAGUUACCAGAUGGCAUUGGCUCUCUCUUAGAAAACCAACCCAAGAUGCUUGAGAGUCUAAGCAUCAGGGGAAUCAGUCUAAAUCCAUUGUUCAUAAAAGGUGACAACAAUAAACUUGCCAAGGUAACUCUUAGGAGCACCCUGCUGAGCCAAGAUGAUCUGAAAGUCCUUGCUGAGCUGCCAAAGUUACGGUGUGUCAGGCUCCAGCAUGUUACAUGCAUCGAGCCCGUGCUCAACUUCAAGAGAGGUCAAUUUAGAUGCCUCAAGUACCUUCUUGUUGAGGACUCGGACUUGACUAUCACUUUUGAGCAUGGAGCAGCAUGUGAGCUCGACAAGAUGGUUUUGUCUUUCAGCAAAGGUUCUAUUUCUGGAGUUGACAGGCUUCCAAACUUGAAAGAGCUUGAGUUGAAUAACAGCUUCUGCGGCAGGCUGCUAUCAUCAUUUGGCAAUGUCUCACAAAUAGCCAAGCUGACUCUUCGUGGUACAUUGCUAGAGCAAGACGCUCUACAAAUACUCGCCAAGAAACCAAAUCUACGAUGUCUUGUGCUCUUGAACGAGUCUUUUGGUGGAAUACAGAACGAGAUUACAUUAAAAGAUGAGUUCUUAUGGCUCAACCAUCUUGUUGUUGACUGCUCGGCCAUCACCAGGAUCGUCUUCACCAGCGGAUCUGCUCCUAGGCUUGAGAAGAUUGUCUGGUCAUCUUUCACAUCUCUCUCCGGUAUCCACAAACUUCCCAGUUUGAAGGAGCUUGAAUUCAACGGUGGUCAAGUCCCCGAUGAGGUGAGAGAGGGCAUUGAAAAGCAUAAAAACAAGCUUAGCCUUAAACUUUUGGACGAAAAACUUUAA
This 4023-nucleotide ribosomal RNA is filed under the name Triticum aestivum (bread wheat). RNAcentral's name for it is "partial small subunit ribosomal RNA". The record is from RNAcentral. Lineage: Eukaryota; Viridiplantae; Streptophyta; Magnoliopsida; Poales; Poaceae.